GAAAAACAAGAACAGAAAGAGGUUCACUCUUCGCUUUCCCGCAAAAACUGGCCCAAUCUCUGUUGUGAAGGUGAAGAUCGCAGAAUCUCCCGCCGAGACCUUCACAUCUUCGUCUUAGAUGGAACAGGUUCGCGAUUCAUACACUAAUUUAAUUCCUUCCUCAUUUGAAUUAGGUUUAGAUUUCUACGUGUUAUAUACAUUGAGAUUUAUUAUGCCUAAAUUAGGAUUUCUAUAAAUUCAUUAAAUAAAUAUGAAAUCGGUUAUUUCUUUUGGUUCCACUCGUCAAAUUGCUAUAAAUCCUGGGAUUUUCAGGUUGUUUGUAACGUUUUUGUUUUCCGUCCCGAUUGUGAUUGUGAUUCAAAGUUUAUUUGGUUUCGAUAAUCAGAUUUUUUCAGUUUUACUCUGAAAUUUGUGAAACAUAAUUUCAUUAUUGCUACUUAGGGUUGUGUUUGAAUGUACGGAUUUCAUGCACUGGUUAAUUAUAAGUCCAAAUUAGUGGAGGCAUCUUUUAUAUUUCAUGAGAAUGAAGUUGACUUUAAUUGAUUAAUUUAUUAUCUUGUAACAUUGCUUCAGUUUAGGCUUGAGGGGGAUGAGGAGACAUAAGUCACAUAAAAGAUGAUCUAUUAUCUGUUUUACUAUCAUAGGUGCUUUAUUUGAUUCGUUUAUUGACCUUGUGAAAAGAAUCAACUAAUACUAGGCAUAUUGAAGCUGUAUGCGUUGCUUAUCAAAUUUCUUUUUGGGUUUAUGAAUCUGUAUGAUCUAUAUCUAUAUAUAUAUGUAUGAAUUGUGUUUUAAUUAUAUAUACUAAUUAAUACCGUACAUGUAUUGGUCCUCUAGACUGAAUAUUUGGGCAACGUGGAUCAAAUGGAGUCCAAUACUUAGGAAGAGUGAGAGAAUGUAAUUCAUGUCUACGAAAAUAAUGUGGGUUGGACAGCGUUUGAAGAUGUUAAUCUAGAGUGACAUGUGUGAUCAGGAAAUUGCUUCAAUUUCUUAAACUCAG
This 1000-nucleotide long non-coding RNA is filed under the name Panax ginseng (ginseng). RNAcentral describes it as "long non-coding RNA (PGIN_LNC010092)". Lineage: Eukaryota; Viridiplantae; Streptophyta; Magnoliopsida; Apiales; Araliaceae. The record is from RNAcentral.